UCGAGCGUCAUUACAACCCUCAAGCUCGGCUUGGUGUUGGGCUCGCCCCCAGUGGGCCUGCCUUAAAAUCAGUGGCGGCUACGUCCAGUCUCAAGCGCAGUAAUACUCGCCGCUUGUUAGGCUUGGGCGGCAGCCUGCUAACAACCCCCACUUUUUACAAGGUUGACCUCGGAUCAGGUAGGGAUACCCGCUGAACUUAA
This 200-nucleotide unclassified non-coding RNA is filed under the name soil metagenome. RNAcentral's name for it is "partial contains internal transcribed spacer 2 and large subunit ribosomal RNA". The record is from RNAcentral.